Unclassified non-coding RNA from Cricetulus griseus (Chinese hamster), 236 nucleotides. Its record names the gene 7SK. It matches the Rfam family "7SK RNA". Rfam says of the family: 7SK was discovered as an abundant small nuclear RNA in the mid-70s but a possible function has only recently been suggested. Two independent studies have found that 7SK RNA binds the CDK9/cyclin T complex (known as elongation factor P-TEFb). The record is from Ensembl. Lineage: Eukaryota; Metazoa; Chordata; Mammalia; Rodentia; Cricetidae.
UGCUGUACACAAACUUGGGUACUCUGCACUAUUCACCACUGAGCCAUCUCUCCAACCUCAGGAGGAUCAUUCUAGAAUUAAGGGUAUUCAAGGAGCUGUGCUCUCUUGCUAGAACCUGCAAACAAGCUCUCACUGUAGCCUUGUGAGAGACUUUGAACCUGGGAGCCCAGCUAACCCAAUCCCAGUUUUCUACAAAAGCCUGGGAUAAUAAGAGUAUAAGUUCUAGGGCUAUCUGU